This 72-nucleotide transfer RNA is filed under the name Chloroflexota bacterium. Its description in RNAcentral is "Chloroflexi bacterium (rhizosphere metagenome) tRNA-Thr". It matches the Rfam family "tRNA". From Rfam's summary of the family: Transfer RNA (tRNA) molecules are approximately 80 nucleotides in length. Their secondary structure includes four short double-helical elements and three loops (D, anti-codon, and T loops). Lineage: Bacteria; Bacillati; Chloroflexota. The record is from RNAcentral.
GCCGGUGUAGCUCAGUGGUAGAGCAACGGUUUUGUAAACCGUUGGCCGUCAGUUCGAUCCUGACCACCGGCU